Priapulus caudatus is the source of this 1262-nucleotide long non-coding RNA. RefSeq lists it as uncharacterized. Lineage: Eukaryota; Metazoa; Priapulida; Priapulimorpha; Priapulimorphida; Priapulidae. The transcript is spliced from 2 exons. The record is from RefSeq and is a predicted model, not a curated record.
AGAGCAAGAAAAUCAGACAAAGCCUCUGCUGCAACGAAUGUAAAAACGUCAGUGAAAGUGAGUGCCCAUGUUUGAAUCGCGUCGCUGCCGUCGCACCUUCCUCACCCUCAUCAUCAGCGGACAUCGUGAAGGCUAGGCAUUGAGGACAGUCUGGAUGGUACACUCCCUCUUCCAUGCCUAGAAAUGGAAGAAUGGGCCUCUGCCACAACAGGCCGACAUCCACAACUGUUUGGCUGCACGUAACAACCGGGGUUAAUUUUCUCAUUUUCUAUGAACGUUUUUCACUUCAUCAUGCCAAAAUUCUGGCUUAUUUCACUAAAGUGAUCGCAACAAGAAGAGAAAGAUUGAAUGUUGUGUCUAGUCCAUUCCAGUGUUUGCAUCGCGUUGUAAUACACCUGAUCAUAGUAUUAGAGUCAAGCUGUACCACUUAAGACCCCCCGGGGACUUUGUCCCCGUGACGUUUCCACUGUUGCCGUUGCACUUAUUCGUGCUUACCUAUUGCUUUGAUUCAGCAUGUGAAAUCCACUCUGCAAAAUACUGCACAUUGUUUCAGUGUUGUGGGUAAAAUUCUUAGUGCACUGCACCAGGGGUCUGGUCGUUAAUGACUCCUCGCUGGCAAGUGCCGACCCGCCUGUAAUGAUUUCCUGAUUGAUUUACCUGUUGAAUAAUUAAUUGUUCGCUCUCAGUCUCUUUAAUAAUUUAAUUAGUGUGGAGGUAGAAUUGCUUGUUAAUAGUUUUUGCUUUUAUACCAGUGUAUGUAUGUGCAGUCUCCAGAUUUUUUCUUCUGGUUGUCUUUUUUCCCGUUAAAAAUAUUUUUGAUUAACACAAAUUUGGACCGGAACCGAGUGCUUUAAAUACUGCAUCAGAUAUUGGGGAACUCACUUAACAUUUAUAAAAUGAUCGAAACAUUGUGUUAAAGUAAUUACUAGAUCAUGCAUCAGUAUAAAUAUUCUGUAGCACCUUACCACUUACACUAAGGCUAAUAUUCACAUUGUUUUAAGAAAUUUGUUAUGCACCUUCGUUUUAAUUUUGUCGAGUAUAUGUGUAUAACAGUAUUAUUGUUAAUUUAGUAGCACUAUGUGAAACUCUAAUAAUACCACUUGACCAUCAGGCAUCUCAACAUAACGAUACUAGCAAGGGUUCAUAAACAUUGGCGAUGUAGUUCUCAUACAUCAUCCUCGGCAUCAUGUGCACUGAGACAGAUGAGCGUUUACCAACUGAUCAUUACAGGUCAAGUAAUAAAUAAUUUGUGAUUACUACAA